AGAGUUUGUACGUCCUGGCGUCAAGGACGAACGCUGGCGGCAUGCCUAACACAUGCAAGUCGAACGGGGAUAGCAAUAUCCUAGUGGCGAACGGGUGAGUAACGCGUGAGUAACCUGCCUCAUACAACGGGAUACCUGAGGGAAACUUCAGUUAAUACGGUAUAAGACCACACUGCCGCAUGGCAGAGGGGUAAAAGGAGCAAUCCGGUAUGAGAUGGACUCGCGUCGCAUUAGCUAGUUGGUGAGGUAACGGCCCACCAAGGCGACGAUGCGUAGCCGACCUGAGAGGGUGAUCGGCCACAUUGGGACUGAGAUACGGCCCAGACUCCUACGGGAGGCAGCAGUGGGGGAAUAUUGGGCAAUGGAGGAAACUCUGACCCAGCAAUGCCGCGUGAAUGAAGAAGGUCUUCGGAUUGUAAAGUUCUUUAGUCAGGGAAGAAAGAAAUGACGGUACCUGAAGAAUAAGCUCCGGCUAACUACGUG
Molecule: ribosomal RNA, 483 nt
Filed under: uncultured Bacillota bacterium
Lineage: Bacteria; Bacillati; Bacillota
Description: bacterial SSU rRNA
Rfam family: Bacterial small subunit ribosomal RNA
Source: RNAcentral